RNAcentral lists this small RNA (812 nucleotides) under Pongo abelii (Sumatran orangutan). RNAcentral describes it as "processed transcript". Lineage: Eukaryota; Metazoa; Chordata; Mammalia; Primates; Hominidae. The record is from RNAcentral.
UAGAGGCCUAGCUGAGGAGGAUGCUCUGCUUCCGAGGUGCAGGGAAGCCUGGGGUAGGUCAUAGGGGUCCCUCUGACCACAGUCCUGGUCAUCUUGUGGGGAAGGGACAGGCCUGCCAGAGGAGCAGGGAUGGGGUCUGCAGCCUGGCAGGGCGUGGAGCGAGACCUUCGAGGCCAGGUGCCGGGCGGUGAGCGGGGCCUGGUGGAGGAGUACGUGGAGAAGGUCCCUAACCCCAGCCUGAAGACCUUCAAGCCCAUCGACCUGAGUGACCUGAAGCGCCGGAGCACGCAGGAUGCCAAGAAGUCCUAGAGCGGCCGGCGCCUCUCCCCGGCCUCCGGAAGAUCAGGGUGCGAGGUGUCGGUUCCCUCCUGUCCUGUGGCCCUGGCUCCUGGGAUGGGGGCGCCUUGCUCCAGCGGGCUGCAGACCCCAGCACUGGCGUGACUGACGGCUGAGGCCUGCCUCUCCUUCCCAAGCCCCCUUCCUUCAUCCUUGGGGGUCUCAGGCUGCCCCCAUCAUGGGGGUCUGGGCCCUGCCCACCCUGCUGCCCUGCCCCAGCCACCCCACCUGGCUGCACUUUUGAAGCUGCCUGUGACCCCCAGGGGCCCUGACCUGACCUCUCUCCUCUCCCUCACCCUCCUGUCCCUGACCCCCAGGGGCCCUGACCUGGCCUCUCUCCUCUCCCUCACCCUCCUGUCCCUGGCCACUGCAGGAUCAGGAGGGGAGAAGAAGGAGCCUCUGCUGCCUCCCAGGCUGCUGGGACUGGGCUGGUUUUGUCCUUGAAGUGGCCAGGAUACAAGAAAAGGGCAGCCCCA